UACAGAGGUCCCGAGCGUUGUUCGGAUUCAUUGGGCGUAAAGGGUGCGUAGGUGGCGCUGUAAGUGGGGUGUGAAAUCCCGGGGCUUAACCCGGGACUGCAUUCCAUACUGCGGUGCUUGAGGACUGGAGAGGAGACUGGAAUUUACGGUGUAGCAGUGAAAUGCGUAGAGAUCGUAAGGAAGACCAGUGGCGAAGGCGGGU
RNAcentral lists this ribosomal RNA (202 nucleotides) under uncultured bacterium. RNAcentral describes it as "partial 16S ribosomal RNA". It matches the Rfam family "Bacterial small subunit ribosomal RNA", at positions 524 to 726 of the family's 1533-position model. The record is from RNAcentral.